Molecule: ribosomal RNA, 472 nt
Filed under: uncultured organism
Description: partial 16S ribosomal RNA
Rfam family: Bacterial small subunit ribosomal RNA
Source: RNAcentral
CACUCCUGCGGGAGGCAGCAGUGGGGAAUUUUGGACAAUGGGCGAAAGCCUGAUCCAGCAAUGCCGCGUGAGUGAAGAAGGCCUUCGGGUUGUAAAGCUCUUUUGUCAGGGAAGAAACGGUGAGAGCUAAUAUCUCUUGCUAAUGACGGUACCUGAAGAAUAAGCACCGGCUAACUACGUGCCAGCAGCCGCGGUAAUACGUAGGGUGCAAGCGUUAAUCGGAAUUACUGGGCGUAAAGCGUGCGCAGGCGGUUUUGUAAGUCUGAUGUGAAAUCCCCGGGCUCAACCUGGGAAUUGCAUUGGAGACUGCAAGGCUAGAAUCUGGCAGAGGGGGGUAGAAUUCCACGUGUAGCAGUGAAAUGCGUAGAUAUGUGGAGGAACACUGAUGGCGAAGGCAGCCCCCUGGGUCAAGAUUGACGCUCAUGCACGAAAGCGUGGGGAGCAAACAGGAUUAGAAACCCUGGUAGUCCCA